UACGAAGGGUGCAAGCGUUAAUCGGAAUUACUGGGCGUAAAGCGUGCGUAGGUGGUCUUUUAAGUCCGUUGUGAAAGCCCUGGGCUCAACCUGGGAAUGGCAGUGGAUACUGGAAGGCUGGAGUACGGUAGAGGAGGGUGGAAUUCCCGGUGUAGCGGUGAAAUGCGUAGAUAUCGGAAGGAACACCAAUGGCGAAGGCAGCCGCCUGGGCCUGAUCUGACACUGAGACACGAAAGCGUGGGGAUCAAACAGG
RNAcentral lists this ribosomal RNA (253 nucleotides) under uncultured bacterium. RNAcentral's name for it is "partial 16S ribosomal RNA". It matches the Rfam family "Bacterial small subunit ribosomal RNA", at positions 524 to 776 of the family's 1533-position model. The record is from RNAcentral.